Molecule: long non-coding RNA, 451 nt
Filed under: Ananas comosus (pineapple)
Lineage: Eukaryota; Viridiplantae; Streptophyta; Magnoliopsida; Poales; Bromeliaceae
Description: long non-coding RNA (ACOM_LNC034136)
Source: RNAcentral
AAUACAGUGUACCGGUACUAGCCCGAUGCAGUACUGGUACCCAGUCCCAGUACCGAUACUCCACUUAGGCACCGAUACUCAACACUCAAAACCUGCAAUUUGCAUAUUUCAGUAUCAGAACUCCAAUCUCACACUCCGCUGAGUCCGUUUUUCCAUCCAUUUUGCGCCAAACAACUCCAACUCGUCCUGACACUCUACAGAUGUGUCGACAAGCCACAAUUACUGCAAUCAUUCCAACCGCUAAAACCCCAGGGACACUACAUUCUCCUCCACUACAAAAAGUUUCGUCCUCGAAACUUAAACUCAUACCUCAACACGGUGCCUCAAAUAGGUAGGGGUAAGAUGCCUGCAUCACAGCCUCCGGCUUCCAAGUCGUCUCACGCUCCUCAUGAUUACUCCACUGCACUUUCACAUACGGUAUGACCCAUUGCGCAAUUCUUUCAUCUCGUGA